UAGGGAAUUGUUCGCAAUGGGCGCAAGCCUGACGACGCAACGCCGCGUGGAGGAUGAAGGGCUUCGGCUCGUAAACUCCUUUCGACCGAGAUGAAUACCCGCAGGGCUAACAUCCCUGCGGACUGACAGUAUCGAGGGAAGAAGCCCCGGCUAACUCCGUGCCAGCAGCCGCGGUAAUACGGGGGGGGCAAGCGUUGUUCGGAAUUACUGGGCGUAAAGGGUUCGUAGGUGGUCAACUAAGUCAUACGUGAAAUCCCUCAGCUUAACUGGGGAACUGCGUCUGAUACUGGUUGACUUGAGUGCAGGAGAGGAACGCGGAAUUCCAGGUGUAGCGGUGAAAUGCGUAGAUAUCUGGAGGAACACCGGUGGCGAAGGCGGCGUUCUGGGCUGUAACUGACACUGAGGAACGAAAGCCAGGGGAGCGAAACGGGAUUAGAUACCCCGGUAGUCCUGGCCCUAAACGAUGAAUGCUUGGUGUGGCGGGUAUCGAUCCCUGCCGUGCCGAAGUUACG
This 512-nucleotide ribosomal RNA is filed under the name uncultured Acidobacteriota bacterium. RNAcentral's name for it is "bacterial SSU rRNA". It matches the Rfam family "Bacterial small subunit ribosomal RNA", at positions 355 to 856 of the family's 1533-position model. The record is from RNAcentral. Lineage: Bacteria; Pseudomonadati; Acidobacteriota.